AUAAAGGCAGUGAAGAGAAGAGUACAUGAAAUGGUCCGGCCAAGAGAGCUCCGUUGGGUGAAAGGGAGUGCGGACGGUUUGAUGGAAGAUGGCCUCUGAGCCUGGUGCGCUGAAUGAUGAAGCGGCCCGGGAGCUCCCGUUACAGAGACAGGGUAUCAAGGCAUAGUCCGGCGUACCUUAUGAGAUCGAUGAAGUGAUUCAUUGGUGAAAUUGGGUGGUAACACGGUCCUCCGUCCCUUUC
This 241-nucleotide non-coding RNA is filed under the name Dialister succinatiphilus. RNAcentral describes it as "T-box sequence". It matches the Rfam family "T-box leader". From Rfam's summary of the family: Uncharged tRNA acts as the effector for transcription antitermination of genes in the T-box leader family. Lineage: Bacteria; Bacillati; Bacillota; Negativicutes; Veillonellales; Veillonellaceae. The record is from RNAcentral.